Molecule: long non-coding RNA, 215 nt
Organism: Daphnia magna
Lineage: Eukaryota; Metazoa; Arthropoda; Branchiopoda; Diplostraca; Daphniidae
Exons: 2
Source: RefSeq, a predicted model, not a curated record
UCUAAGAGUAGAAUAAAAUGUCGGAACAACCAAUAUCUGUGCCUAAAGGUGAUGAGAAAGAAAAGAGCCUUGCUGAAGAGGGUGCGAAGAAACUUAAGCCAUGUUGUGCAUGCCCUGAGACCAAAAGAGCGAGAGACCAGUGUAUCAUCGAAAACGGCGAGGAAAAUUGUACAUCCCUCAUUCAAGACCAUUUAACAUGUAUGAGGAAACUUGGA